This 468-nucleotide ribosomal RNA is filed under the name uncultured bacterium. RNAcentral describes it as "partial 16S ribosomal RNA". It matches the Rfam family "Bacterial small subunit ribosomal RNA", at positions 28 to 507 of the family's 1533-position model. The record is from RNAcentral.
GACGAACGCUGGCGGCGUGCUUAACACAUGCAAGUCGAACGGAAAGGCCAUGCUUUUGUGGCGUGCUCGUGUGGCGAACGGGGGAGUAACACGUGUGUAUCCUGUCCUUGUCUUUGGGAUAACUCCAGGAAACUGGGGCUAAUACCGGAUAGAAGCUCCUGCUGCACGGGGGGGGUUGGAAAGUUUCGGCGGUUGGGGCUGGAUUCGCGGGUUAUCCGCUUGUUGGUGGGGUAGUGGCUUACCAAGCCUUUGACGGGUAGCCGGCCUGAGAGGGUGACCGGCCACAUGAGGACUGCGGUACGGCCCAGUCUCCUACGUGCGGCAGCAGUGGGGAGUAUUGCACAGUAGGCGGAAGCCUGAUGUAGCAACGCCGCGUGCGGAAUACCGUCCUUCGGGUUGUAAACCGCUUUGGCCUGUGCCGAAGCGUGAGUGACGGUAAUGGAUAAAGAAGCACCGGCUAACUACGUG